Oncorhynchus tshawytscha (Chinook salmon) is the source of this 256-nucleotide long non-coding RNA. RefSeq lists it as uncharacterized. The record is from RefSeq and is a predicted model, not a curated record. Lineage: Eukaryota; Metazoa; Chordata; Actinopteri; Salmoniformes; Salmonidae. The transcript is spliced from 3 exons.
UGAGUCCUUUGUGUGUCAGAAAAGAACCACUUUCAGGUCACAGUUCACGUAGGGAUGGCCGGAGACCCCCUGUACGUCAAAACACCCAACGGCCCUGCGCCGAUAGAGAGCUUCCACAUCAAGGUGUUUGGCGUGAAGCUUGAGGCACAGACUCACAAAGUCACCAUAGAGCAGUCCCAGCCGGAUCGCAGCAAGAAACCAUUCCUGCCAGUCAAAGUGAGUCUACCAGGGGACAAGAUCACUAGAGUUACUCUGG